Molecule: ribosomal RNA, 578 nt
Filed under: uncultured bacterium
Lineage: Bacteria
Description: bacterial SSU rRNA
Rfam family: Bacterial small subunit ribosomal RNA
Source: RNAcentral
CCUACGGGAGGCAGCAGUGAGGAAUAUUGGACAAUGGGCGCAAGCCUGAUCCAGCCAUGCCGCGUGCAGGAAGACGCAUCUAUGGUGUGUAAACUGCUUUUGUACGGGAAGAAACACUCCUUCGUGAAGGAGCUUGACGGUACCGUAAGAAUAAGGAUCGGCUAACUCCGUGCCAGCAGCCGCGGUAAUACGGAGGAUCCAAGCGUUAUCCGGAAUCAUUGGGUUUAAAGGGUCCGUAGGCGGUUUAAUAAGUCAGUGGUGAAAUCUGGUCGCUCAACGAUCAAACGGCCAUUGAUACUGUUAGACUUGAAUUACUAGGAAGUAACUAGAAUAUGUAGUGUAGCGGUGAAAUGCUUAGAUAUUACAUGGAAUACCAAUUGCGAAGGCAGGUUACUACUAGUGGAUUGACGCUGAUGGACGAAAGCGUGGGGAGCGAACAGGAUUAGAUACCCUGGUAGUCCACGCCGUAAACGAUGGAUACUAGCUGUUGGGCGCAAGUUCAGUGGCUAAGCGAAAGUGAUAAGUAUCCACCUGGGGAGUAACGUUCGCAAGAAUGAAACUUNAAAUUGAAUUGACGG